GUUCCACGUGUUCCGUGUCGGAGCUAACGCGUUAAGCNUCCCGCCUGGGGAGUACGGCCGCAAGGCUAAAACUCAAAGAAAUUGACGGGGGCCCGCACAAGCGGCGGAGCAUGCGGAUUAAUUCGAUGCAACGCGAAGAACCUUACCUGGGCUUGACAUGUUCCCGACGACGCCAGAGAUGGCGUUUCCUUCGGGGCGGGUUCACAGGUGGUGCAUGGUCGUCGUCAGCUCGUGUCGUGAGAUGUUGGGUUAAGUCCCGCAACGAGCGCAACCCUCGCCCCGUGUUGCCAGCACGUUAUGGUGGGAACUCACGGGAGACCGCCGGGGUUAACUCGGAGGAAGGUGGGGAUGACGUCAGAUCAUCAUGCCCCUUACGUCCAGGGCUUCACGCAUGCUACAAUGGCCGGUACAGCGGGAUGCGACAUGGCGACAUGGAGCGGAUCCCUGAAAACCGGUCUCAGUUCGGAUCGGAGCCUGCAACCCGGCUCCGUGAAGGCGGAGUCGCUAGUAAUCGCGGAUCAGCAACGCCGCGGUGAAUGCGUUCCCGGGCCUUGUACACACCGCCCGUCAAGUNAUGAAAGUGGGCAGCACCCGAAGCCGGUGGCCUAACCCCUUGUGGGAUGGAGCCGUCUNAGGUGAGGC
RNAcentral lists this ribosomal RNA (642 nucleotides) under Bifidobacterium bifidum. Its description in RNAcentral is "bacterial SSU rRNA". It matches the Rfam family "Bacterial small subunit ribosomal RNA", at positions 829 to 1468 of the family's 1533-position model. Lineage: Bacteria; Bacillati; Actinomycetota; Actinomycetes; Bifidobacteriales; Bifidobacteriaceae. The record is from RNAcentral.